UGCAAGUCGAACGGUAAGGCCCCUUCGGGGGUACACGAGUGGCGAACGGGUGAGUAACACGUGAGCAACCUGCCCUUGACUCUGGAAUAACAGUUGGAAACAGCUGCUAAUACCGGAUAUGACUUCGCACAUCAUUGUGUGGGGUGGAAAGCCUUGGCGGUCAGGGAUGGGCUCGCGGCCUAUCAGCUUGUUGGUGAGGUAACGGCUCACCAAGGCUUCGACGGGUAGCCGGCCUGAGAGGGCGACCGGCCACACUGGGACUGAGAUACGGCCCAGACUCCUACGGGAGGCAGCAGUGGGGAAUAUUGCACAAUGGGCGAAAGCCUGAUGCAGCAACGCCGCGUGCGGGAUGACGGCCUUCGGGUUGUAAACCGCUUUCACCUGUGACGAAGCGAAAGUGACGGUAGCAGGAGAAGAAGGACCGGCUAACUACGUGCCAGCAGCCGCGGUGAUACGUAGGGUCCAAGCGUUGUCCGGAAUUAUUGGGCGUAAAGGGCUUGUAGGCGGUCCGUCGCGUCAGAAGUGAGAACUCAGGGCUUAACCCUGAGCCUGCUUUUGAUACGGGCGGACUAGAGGGAUGCAGGGGAGAACGGAAUUCCUGGUGGAGCGGUGGAAUGCGCAGAUAUCAGGAGGAACACCGGUGGCGAAGGCGGUUCUCUGGGCAUUACCUGACGCUGAGAAGCGAAAGCGUGGGGAGCAAACAGGCUUAGAUACCCUGGUAGUCCACGCCGUAAACGGUGGGCACUAGGUGUGGGGGACAUUCCACGUUCUCCGUGCCGAAGCUAACGCAUUAAGUGCCCCGCCUGGGGAGUACGGCCGCAAGGCUAAAACUCAAAGGAAUUGACGGGGGCCCGCACAAGCGGCGGAGCAUGCGGAUUAAUUCGAUGCAACGCGAAGAACCUUACCUGGGUUUGACAUAU
RNAcentral lists this ribosomal RNA (920 nucleotides) under uncultured Friedmanniella sp. RNAcentral's name for it is "bacterial SSU rRNA". It matches the Rfam family "Bacterial small subunit ribosomal RNA", at positions 56 to 989 of the family's 1533-position model. Lineage: Bacteria; Bacillati; Actinomycetota; Actinomycetes; Propionibacteriales; Nocardioidaceae. The record is from RNAcentral.